ACAUAACUGAUGCCUCCGCGUAUCGACUUUGUGCGCAUUUUAGCUAUUAUGUGUUCUUUUAAUUAAAAUGAUUCUUUUUAAGAUUCAUCUAUUAAAAAUUUGCUUCGGCAUAAUUUUUUUUGAUGAUCUUGUUACUUUGAGUAAAUUAGAGUGUUCAAAGCAAACAGAUAUAGCAUUUGUGCGUUUGAAUACUACAGCAUGGAAUAACAAAAUUGAACAAGUCAGAAUUUUUUUGUUCUUUUUUCUUAUUUUGGCUUAGUUACGAUUAAUAGGAGUAGCUUGGGGGCAUUUGUAUUCAGAUGUCAGAGGUGAAAUUCUUAGAUUUUCUGGAGACAAACAACUGCGAAAGCAUUUGCCUAAAAUACUUCCAUUAAUCAAGAACGAAAGUUAAGGGAGUGAAGACGAUCAGAUACCGUCGUAAUCUUAACCAUAAACUAUGCCGACUAGGCUUUGGAUGAAAGAUUUUAAAAUAAGAGUUUUUCUUUUCUCUCCGGAGAUUAGAACUCUUAGAUUGCUUCCUUCAGUGCCUUAUGAGAAAUCAAAGUCUUUGGGUUCUGGGGCGAGUAUUCGCGCAAGCGAGAAAGUUAAAAGAAUUGACGGAAGGGCACCACCAGGCGUGGAGCUUGCGGCUUAAUUUGACUCAACACGGGAAAACUCACUAGUUUAAGACAAGAGUAGGAUUGACAGAUUAAUAGCUCUUUCUUGAUUUCUUGGAUGGUGAUGCAUGGCCGUUUUUAGUUCGUGAAUAUGAUUUGUCUGGUUAAUUCCGAUAACGAACGAGAUCUCAACCUGCUAAUUAGCGGCAAAUACGAUAUAUUCUUAUGUAGAAUUGAAUAUAGUGGAUUUGUUAGAUUUUGAAGAAAAUAUUGGAAUUACGUUAAAUGUGAUUCCUUUCCCUUUUCUACUUAAUUUGCAUUUCCAUCUAUUUCUUUUUUGCGUAUGAACGUAUUUGCUUGAUUGUAAAGCUUCUUAGAGGAACGAUGUGUG
This 987-nucleotide ribosomal RNA is filed under the name Plasmodium knowlesi. RNAcentral describes it as "SSU rRNA". It matches the Rfam family "Eukaryotic small subunit ribosomal RNA", at positions 638 to 1428 of the family's 1831-position model. Lineage: Eukaryota; Apicomplexa; Aconoidasida; Haemosporida; Plasmodiidae. The record is from RNAcentral.